RNAcentral lists this ribosomal RNA (468 nucleotides) under uncultured bacterium. RNAcentral describes it as "partial 16S ribosomal RNA". It matches the Rfam family "Bacterial small subunit ribosomal RNA", at positions 28 to 507 of the family's 1533-position model. The record is from RNAcentral.
GACGAACGCUGGCGGCGUGCUUAACACAUGCAAGUCGAACGGAAAGGCCCUGCUUUUGUGGGGUGCUCGAGUGGCGAACGGGUGAGUAACACGUGAGUAACCUGCCCUUGACUUUGGGAUAACUUCAGGAAACUGGGGCUAAUACCGGAUAGGAGCUCCUGCUGCAUGGUGGGGGUUGGAAAGUUUCGGCGGUUGGGGAUGGACUCGCGGCUUAUCAGCUUGUUGGUGGGGUAGUGGCUGACCAAGGCUUUGACGGGUAGCCGGCCUGAGAGGGUGACCGGCCACCUUGGGCCUGAGGUACGGCCCAGACUCCUACGGGAGGCAGCAGUGGGGAAUAUUACACAAUGGGCGGAAGCCUGAUGCAGCAACGCCGCGUGCGGGAUGACGGCCUUCGGGUUAUAAACCGCUUUCGCCUGUGACGAAGCGUGAGUGACGGUAAUGGGUAAAGAAGCACCGGCUAACUACGUG